UUUUUUUUUGUUUUUUUUUUUUUAAUGUUCUGUUGACUUGCUGGCCCAGGGAGAGGGAAUAAUUAUAGGUUGGAAAAAAUCCUACAAUGUGACAGUGAGAUUAGGGGUUGCAGUGAGUUAUGGGGAUAACUGAGCUGACUUCUGGCAUGGUGUAUCUUGGUGGUUUUGGCUAAUAGAUCUUUCUCCUCAGGAAGUUGCUUUCAGCUGAAGAACGUGGUCCCAUUAUUACAGGGGUCGGGGAAUUGAGGAAGAGGAAGAAUCAGGCCCAGUUCUUUGAGGAUGGUCUUCAUCUAUGUCUGUUUCUGCAGAGUGUGUACACUAACUAGUAGACUAUGGAGACAGACUUCCUCGUUUUCAAUCCAGCUCUGGACCUAGUAGAUGUGUUGCUACACUGAGGAAGUUGCUUAUCGUCUCUGGGCCUUUUAAGAUUGCUGUGAUGAUGAAAAGGGUUAAUUCAUGCAAAGGAAUUAGAACAUUGCCUUCUACAUGGCUGUGAAGGCAUAAGAAGAACCAGAGUAGAAACUUAAAAUGUGAAGAGAAAGGGUGGAGAAAAUAACAGGAGGAAGAAUGUGGAAUGGUGAAUUUGGAAGAAACCUAGGAAGAGACACCAGCCCCACCUUCCUUUUUCCAGGACUUCUUUUCUUGCUUCCACCGCCAUCUUGCCAUCCUCACUUUCACAGUCUCCAAUACUAUGCCGUGUGGGUGACAGGGGUCUGACAUCAUUGUGGCAGGAACAGCCGUCACCUCACUCUCCCUGUGCAUCUAAACUAUCCCUAGGCCUGGGUUCCUAGCUGGACCCAGUAGACAAUGUACUUGUCUAACAAAGUAUAGCUCUUUGGAAGCUUGACCCUAGGCCAUCAGUCUUAGGUCUGGACUCUCAUCCAGCUACUUUACUGGGAUAAAAUGACUACUGAAGGCUCCGGGACAGGAACUUUGUUUCUUAAAAUUUAUCUUUGUAGUUUCAUCACCUGUGUUACCCUCCCAGGGCUGCUGUAAUAAAAUAACCACAAACUGGGUGGCUUUAACCCAA
Non-coding RNA from Macaca mulatta (Rhesus monkey), 1030 nucleotides. The record is from RefSeq and is a predicted model, not a curated record. NCBI's taxonomy places the organism in Eukaryota, Metazoa, Chordata, Mammalia, Primates, Cercopithecidae.